CCCUCUUCUUGUCUCGCCGUGUUCCCUGUCGGAUCGGCUCGCUACUGCUGCUCCCAACUGCAUGCAAGGCUUCAGUAUUAGCGAAACAACAAUUUCAGAAAAAAACGAACACCAAAAACACAAGAAAUCCAACCAGGAAUAGAAAACAGGUAUUCAGAGCAAUUUCUUCAGUGACACAAUGCUUAACUGUUCCUGGGUUCAUGGAAGCCAUGCUGCUCAGGAGGUAUAGGAGGCCAGGCAAAGGUCUUAAUCUUUGCUUACAAGUGACUUCAUGUUCUCUCUUGCAUCAAGCCUACAUGAUAUGGGUUUUACAUCAGGUCUCCCAGAGCUUCAUGCAGCAUUGACUCCUCAUAACAGAAACCUCCUGUUCAUACUUCAGAUGAGACAGUGUUGUACAGAGCCAAGGCCAUUCACAGUGAAGGGCCCAAGAAGCUGGGAAGGAACAGAAUUAGGACAGCUGACUUAAACUGGACAAAGUGAUAUUCCAUGCCAUAUGACAUCAAGUGAAAGGAGUUUUGAAGGGGGUAAUGAAGUUGGGAAAGAUUAGCAACUGACUAGAAAAAUAUAACAUUUCCAAAAUCAAUACUCUUGUUGACAGCUGACAUGGGAUUCACCCUUAAUUCUGAAACAGUUUUACUCAUAGCUACUCUAAGGAAAGGAAACAUGCUAUUAUGGAUAAAUUUAGAACAGGUAAACUUUUAUAUAUUUUUGAAAGCAGUUUAUUUAAACUAAUCUAAUUUUAGCUAGGGUAUCUCUUGCCUCUUAACUAUUUCUUACGUCUGUAUUUAGAACUGGAGUUAAAAGAAUAUGAUAGGUCACAACACAGCACCCCACAAAACAAAAUACAGACAACUCUGAGUCCUUCACCUGUUCUUUUGUCUGUGGAAGUGAAAGUACAUUUUUUCUUGAGUGGGUUCAUGUGAAAACAGAGACACAGAGUGUAUAGUAAAGCCCUACUAGAGAACAAAGUAAGCAUUACUUGUUUUGAUUCUUCAUAUGACAGCAUCUCAUUUAUUUAUUGCUUUGUCUUUUGCGUCUUUUGCAUGCUCUCACUAAUUAUAAAAGUGCCUAUAAAAUCCUUCAAGUCAGGAAGCAGGAUCUAAACAAAAUUUAAUUUCAAUAAAGCUGCAUAAUUGAUCUACCCAGCUGACAGUUUCUUGAAGAUAUUGAAAACAAUGGCAAAUUAUCUCAAAAGCAAGUGAUUUUCUACUCCAUAAUCAUCUCAUAUUCAUAUUUUUACAUGACAUUUUACUUCAAACAGACCCAACCAACUUCAGAAUCUCUUCCUACUGAUAUGCAGAGAGCAAGCAGACUUUUCCUCUAGGUGCCAACUAAAAGAAAAAAAUUGGAUUUAAAAGGGUGUUGCACAUGAAUUUUAGUAGAAUAUUCAGUGUUGCAUUUGCCCUUUCUUAAGGCAAGAAGGUUAGAUUCUUAAGGUUAGAAUUGAAAACUCAGUAGCUUAAGUUUUCUUCAUAGAGAUUUUUAAUAACCUGGUCAUCCUAACAGCACUUCUUAGCCACCUUCAUUUUAACCAUUUUCCUAGUUUAAUUACAUUUCUAUUUCUCUUGAACUAGACAUAAUUUAGUUGCCAAUCUAGACUUCAGAGAGAUUCUGUUCUUUACUAAGUUGUAAUCUGAAUUGUUAGAAUUUACGAGGUAGCAGAAUAAAAAUUCUAGAAGUGACACAGCACAAGUGUAUUUUGGCUAGUUUACUACUGUGGAUUUAUAAGACAUUACAUUAUGGCAACAGAGUGUUUUCAGGGCCAUGGGUACAGGAAUCACACUUGCAUGAAAUGAAAAUAUGUCUGUGAAGAAACACUCUUUCUAAAACAGGGUAAAUCUUGUUAAGACAUUUUUAUUGUACAGAAACUGUGAACAAUAAUAAGUCAGGAUUUAUGUGUUUGAUAUAACGGACUAUUAAAACAAGCAUGAGACAUUGUUUAGUGUAAGGAACAAAAAAUUAUUCUCUAAGAGAAUUUCUGCUAACGCAAUUUCCUAUGAACUGAAUUCAUAGAGGCUAUCUUAUUAAAAAAAAACAAAACAAUUUCACGUGGAGCCUCUCUAUUUUUGGGUAUAAAAUUUCAUAUAAUAUUACUCUUUUUAUUCCUGUGGAAAAUGUGUGUACAUAGUUAGAAGACUGGGGAAAAAAAUCCAGCCCUGGUAUAACUAAGAUGAGUAUGAACAGACAAGUGAAGAAAGAGAAAUUUUAGAACAUAGCUCAUUUUACUAAAAAAGAAAUAAGAAAUGUCAUACCCUGAUAUUCAUUGUCUCAGAAGUUGUUCCCUUAAUUUUAGCUAAACAUUCUUUAAUCAGGUUUGGAAACAGGAUAGAUAAAAUCAAGCAAAAUAUUCCAUCGGUAAUUAUAGAUUACUGACUUUCCCCUCUGCUUCCAUUAUGGUACAACUGACAGUAAUCCAAGAACCAAGCUAAGCACCAUCUGUUGGGUACAGAUGAGAAUUUCCUAUGGAGUGCACAAAGCUCAUAAACUGGUAUGGCACAGGCAAAAAUAACCUUGCAGGAAUGAGCGCUGCUGAAAGAGCUCUCCAGAAACAGGGCCUUCACGGAGUUGUCUUCCUGAUGCUGUUUCUUGCUGCAGAGCAGCUGUUUGUUAUGCAGUAUCUACGUCAUGUGCUUAGGCCUUGUGACUUCAUAAUGUGCUGACGCCUUUUACCGCGUCCAAUCUUCCUGAGCUCAACUGAAAGGCAACUUAGCUAAUCGUCGGCUAGCAAGCAAAACAAGACGAAACCUGCUGAGAUGGCCACGAGCCAAGGUAAGGUGCGGAGACUGUGCUGUGAAGUUGGUAAAAAACGUGUGACCGUUGAGUAGGAACAGAAAAAUUGCUUACUUUAGGUAGGUGAGAUUGCUUUAACUGUAGUCUGUGUUUGUUGAUGAAGUGUUAAUUGGUAAAGAGGACUAAAUCUCGUCUAGUUAUAAAUGUUUCUAAGAGAGAUCUGUCUGUUGGCCCUUGCUUUAAAAUGCAUCCGAAAAUUGUUCGGGGUAGUGGUAGUGUGUUUUUUUUAUUUUUAUUUUUUAUUUUUGCUAUGUUUCUGUAGGGGUCUGUAGAACAAGGUUCUAUCCUGAAGUCAGUAUUUGUGGUAGCAAAGGUAAUUAUUAUUGUUUUUUUUUUUUUUUAUUCCUUUGAGGUAUGUACUGAGCCUAAAUUUAUUAGCUAUGACCUGUUGAUAUACCACAUAUUACACUACUUGAAAAACAGGCUGUAUAGCCUUGGGAAUUAGCGAAAUAUGAUUUAAUGAAAUAUUAUGUAGGUGUUCCUUGCUUGGUGUUUGGUUGUUGCUGCUGAGGAAUUGCUUUCAAAAGCAGUACUUCAGGGAUGUCCUGGAAAGUGAUAUGUCGGGUAGGAGACAGCAGGAAUAACCUACCAAAGAUGUGUGGAAAGCUGUUGUGUUGAUUUCUCUUGUACGAAGCUACAGGAGGAACGUAUAAGAACGGUUGUAAAUAUAAGAAUGACAUGAAGACUGUUGUCAGUGAAGAUGAUGGGUGGCACCAGUAAUUCCAAUGUUCGAGAUGCAGAUUUAUUAAGUCUGAGAUUGAAUUCUGCUUUAACAGCUGCUUUGCAGUAUGAAUAGUUGUGCUAGUCGUCCUGAACUUGCCCUAAACUGCCCUUAGCUUAAUAAUAUAUAGUAAGUAGAACCGUAGGACUGAUGUUUUGUAGCGUGUCUGACACAUGGCUUUGUUUCUUAUCUUGAGGUGUUCACAGGUUGUUUUUGAAAACAAAAGGUAACUUUACAGUGUUUUCCAGCUGCGAUAUGGGGAGAUAAUGAGUAGCUAACAGAAUUACAUGAAUUAUUUAAACAGUUAUACCGGUUCCUCAGGCAUUUACUUCAGCCAUUGUUAUGUGGAGUUGACGUUGCUAGGUUUUACUGAGACAUAGUGAGUAAUUAUGAGCGAGGCAAACUGCAUUUAACUAGGGAAUAGUGACAGAAUGAUUAGAUUAAGCACAUCCAGUGUUGGUAUGAAAUAAAUAUCUCUAAUAAGCUUUUUCUAAAACCUGUUCAUCUGAAGAAAAAUUAAAAAUGCUAAUAAUGAAACUUUAAAAGUCAAAACAGUCAUUAGUUUGUGCAAACGGUUCCAGAAUAAGAAGUAAAUUUUCUGUUCCAAAAUUUCAGUUAAAUGAAUCUGAAGCAACUUCAGUUUGUAAAAACAAAAAUUGAAAGUGGCUAGCCUCUGGUAUGCCCUCAAAUUCUUUGACAAUCUACUAACAUGGAGAUAAUGGCUCUAAAGAGGGCUAUAAAUAAUUCGAGCAGUUCAAUUUGCAGGAGGAACAACUUUACAUAAUUUUUAAAGUCUGCCUCCUAUCACGCUUCAUAAACAGGUGAAAAAAAAGCUUAAGAGCAAGAGUAAUCACUAGAGUCAUGCUUAGGGUAUGGGUGCUGGCUAUCAGAUGUAGAAACUCGUAGGAAGUGUUGCUCUAUAUCAGUGCAGUCUCUGAUAAACUGUAACUGCUUAGUUUCAAGACUACAGUAAAUAUCUUUGUGUUUUUUAGAUAUCUUUUAAAAUCCUGAUUAAUUAGGAUGUGCAACUGGACUUGUUAUCUAACUGCUAGUAUGCUGAUUCAAAACUAAUAUUAAAUUUGAUGUAGAGCUUUCAUGUCACCAUGCAAAGCAGAGUGCCAAUGAUUGCCUGAUGCUUUCUUCUUGCUGUAGUUGCUGUCACUGAGGGUCUACAUCUUAAUUCCUUUCCGUAUUGAUUCUUGAAAAUCCUCGGGGCAUGAAAAUAUCCUUUAUGAAGUACAUAUGCUUAUAAGACACUUCAGAUUCUCAGUUUUUUUUUUAAUUUCUGGACAUUAAAGUUUUGGACCAGUGAUCAAGUGCCCAAAUCAUUGGAACUGAAAAGACUUGAUUAAUAACAAAUGUUUCUUAAUUGUCCCUUAGCACUUCUUUGUGACAGUAUUUCAUAUUAAAUUUUUCAUUUGUAAAUUUUGUGCUAUUGUGGCAGCUAUAUUUUAUAUGAAACUAAGUAACGUGCUGUUCAGACAAGGAAAAAUUGCUGUGCAUGUUGUCCAAAAAUGGUGUCGAGGACCUGAAAGGUAUGUAUAUGGUAUCUGUAGGGACUUGUCUCAAAACACGCAACCCAGUCUGUGGUGGGGCAGCAGUUGUGGUUAGCAGGCCUUACUGAAGGCUGGGGACAAUUUACAUAUUCCUGAGUCUCCAACAGAGCAAGUAUAGGAACAAGGUCAAGCAAAGGUCAGGCGCCCAGUGGCGUUGUUCUGCUUAAUCGACCAUUUGAGGCAUCCAUGUAUGUCCUCUAUGUUUUUUGGGAAAAUUCCCUGAAUCCAAGUACAGCAUGCGUGAAUAAUGGCACCGCCCCUUAAGAACUCAGAGCUGCUGUUUCUAUAAAAACAUCUGUCUGGAGAGGUUUCAGGUGGAGACUCUUCUCUCAGAUAAAAAAGCUGAAGACUCCAUUGAUGGAUCCCAGGGUGGUGACUGUGUGUGUGUGUAUAUAUAUGUAUAUACACACAUUUAUAGAGUGUAUAUAUACAUCUACUUUUUAAAAUCAUUUUCAUUAUUAUUUGUUCUCCUAUCUCUCUCUACUUUGACUCAGGGUAGUUAGUAGCGAUUAAAUACACUGAGUCUUGUUGUUCCAUGUCUUUUGCUGUUACCAAAUUUGCUUGAUUUUUCUGUUUUGUUAUCAGAUUUGCUCAAGCUGGGGUUUUGCAUAACUCUUGUUGUAAAAUAUUGAGGAGAGUAUAUUGAAUAAUUGAUUGUUUAAUCUUGUUGCUUUUCCUGGAUCAUUAAAGUUGCUGAGACAUAGUGACCCUACUGCUUCGUGGCCCAACUGACUGGGGAAAUUUCUCAGCAAGUAAAAAAGCUCACCUCCCUUGAAACCCAUUGAAUGGGAUGAGAUGGACAGAUUCAUUACCCAGGGUGCAAUUAGCCAAUCUCACACACAGAGGCAAGAUAUAGAGAUUUAUUGCAAAAUUAUGCAUGUUUGAGUGCUAGGUGUUUUCUGACAGUGCACAAGAGGGAUUUUCCAUAGUGCUGUUUCUGCACAUUUUUAUCAUUUUAUCACAUUUUUAUUACUUUAUCACAAUAUAGACUCCAUCUCUACAACUGGUUACCUAAUUUGCAUACUUAUACACGGUAUAUCACACAAUACUUUUGAUAUUGCACAGGCUUAUUGAGAGGGUCUCCAGGUGAACCUGGGUCUUCAAGCCAGUGGAUGUGGAUUUUUUUUUUUAGUAUAUAGUUAAGGAUGGGGCUAAUCUCCCUUUCUUAUGACUGCUCUCACCAUGCUGAUGAAUGUUUAGUUCAUGUAUUUACGGGAUGUUCCUGACUUCAAGGGCAACCUUAGUAACCAGACUGUGAUUGAGUUCCUUUACUUAAACGGUUUUGAUGAUUCUACACAAAAGUAUGUAUUUGCUAUAUUUAAUUGUACCAUACAAAAUCUUGUACAAAUGUUAGUUCUUACUUGACUUAGCAAGUACAUCUAAAACUCUCUAUAUGAAAAUAAUAUAAAUAUAUGCAUUAACUUGUUACAGCCUUACUGCUAUUGAGGACCACAGUUAACUUUUUUUCUGAAUACACUGCUGUGUUUGUAAGCAUAGACCAAGAGUUUCCAUGACCUUUUUUUAUUUGCACUGCUCUUCUGAUAACACCAACAGGUGUCUUAAAUCCUGUUUAGACUACACUUACAUGUCAUACACAUGUAAACCUUCCAGCUCCAUAUGGUGUCUGUGGGUGACAGGUUUUAAUUUCUACUUCAAUGUCGAUGGUUCUAGUGGAAAUGCUGAGUCAUGGCCUGAAUCAGUGGUUGAGCACCUGGUGGGAAGGCAGGACCAACCCAAGGGAGCUCAGCUGCAUCCAAUGCACCUGACAGGAAGGAGUGAAGCCAGGAUCCACCCCUUCCCAGACCUCAUGUAAGGGUUGGCAGUGAAGAUGAGGGUAUCUUGUUGGAG
RNAcentral lists this long non-coding RNA (6915 nucleotides) under Gallus gallus (chicken). RNAcentral's name for it is "lncRNA (ENSGALG00010000896.1)". The record is from RNAcentral. Lineage: Eukaryota; Metazoa; Chordata; Aves; Galliformes; Phasianidae.